UACGUAGGAUCCAAGCGUUGUCCGGAUUUACUGGGUGUAAAGGGUGCGCAGGCGGACCAAUAAGUCAGGAGUGAAAUCUCGGCGCUCAACGCCGAAACGUCUUUUGAUACUGUUGGUCUUGAAUAAGCGAGAGAUUCGUGGAAUUCCGAGUGUAGCAGUGAAAUGUGUAGAUAUUCGGAAGAACACCAGAGGCGAAGGCAGCGAAUUGGCGCUUUAUUGACGCUCAGGCACGAAAGCAUGGGGAUCAAACAGG
This 253-nucleotide ribosomal RNA is filed under the name uncultured bacterium. RNAcentral's name for it is "partial 16S ribosomal RNA". It matches the Rfam family "Bacterial small subunit ribosomal RNA", at positions 524 to 776 of the family's 1533-position model. RNAcentral also lists the same sequence under 1 other name. The record is from RNAcentral.